AGUGGGAUAGCUGGGUCAAACAGUGGUUCCAUUCCAAGUUUUCUGAGGAAUCUCCAUACUGCUUUCCAUAGUGGUUGUACCAUUUUGCAGUCUCACCAGCAAU
This 103-nucleotide microRNA precursor is filed under the name Marmota monax (woodchuck). Lineage: Eukaryota; Metazoa; Chordata; Mammalia; Rodentia; Sciuridae. The record is from RNAcentral.